RNAcentral lists this ribosomal RNA (100 nucleotides) under uncultured bacterium. RNAcentral's name for it is "partial 16S ribosomal RNA". The record is from RNAcentral.
CUUUCGGGUUGUAAACUCCUGUCAUUUGGGAACAAGUUGUACGUAUUUACCGUACGUGCAUUGAUAGUACCAGAAGAGGAAGGGACGGCUAACUCUGUGC